This 1563-nucleotide ribosomal RNA is filed under the name Companilactobacillus paralimentarius. RNAcentral's name for it is "bacterial SSU rRNA". It matches the Rfam family "Bacterial small subunit ribosomal RNA". Lineage: Bacteria; Bacillati; Bacillota; Bacilli; Lactobacillales; Lactobacillaceae. The record is from RNAcentral.
AGAGUUUGAUYMUGGCUCAGGANGAACGCUGGCGGCAUGCCUAAUACAUGCAAGUCGAACGAACCAUCCUGAUGAUUGAAGCUUGCUUCAUGAUUCAGACCUUGGUGAGUGGCGGACGGGUGAGUAACACGUGGGUAACCUGCCCAGAAGUGGGGGAUAACAUUUGGAAACAAGUGCUAAUACCGCAUAACAACUUAGAUCACAUGAUCUUUGUUUAAAAGAUGGUUUUGCUAUCUCUUCUGGAUGGACCCGCGGCGUAUUAGCUAGUUGGUGAGGUAAUAGCUCACCAAGGCGAUGAUACGUAGCCGACCUGAGAGGGUAAUCGGCCACAUUGGGACUGAGACACGGCCCAAACUCCUACGGGAGGCAGCAGUAGGGAAUCUUCCACAAUGGACGAAAGUCUGAUGGAGCAAUGCCGCGUGAGUGAAGAAGGUUUUCGGAUCGUAAAACUCUGUUGUUGAAGAAGAAUAUAUGUGAGAGUAACUGUUCACGUACUGACGGUAUUCAACCAGAAAGCCACGGCUAACUACGUGCCAGCAGCCGCGGUAAUACGUAGGUGGCAAGCGUUGUCCGGAUUUAUUGGGCGUAAAGAGAAUGUAGGCGGUUUAUUAAGUUUGAAGUGAAAGCCCUCGGCUCAACCGAGGAAGUGCUUCGAAAACUGGUAAACUUGAGUGCAGAAGAGGAAAGUGGAACUCCAUGUGUAGCGGUGGAAUGCGUAGAUAUAUGGAAGAACACCAGUGGCGAAGGCGGCUUUCUGGUCUGUAACUGACGCUGAGAUUCGAAAGCAUGGGUAGCAAACAGGAUUAGAUACCCUGGUAGUCCAUGCCGUAAACGAUGAGUGCUAAGUGUUGGAGGGUUUCCGCCCUUCAGUGCUGCAGCUAACGCAUUAAGCACUCCGCCUGGGGAGUACGAUCGCAAGAUUGAAACUCAAAGGAAUUGACGGGGGCCCGCACAAGCGGUGGAGCAUGUGGUUUAAUUCGAAGCAACGCGAAGAACCUUACCAGGUCUUGACAUACCAUGAAAAGCUUAGAGAUAAGUCUUUCCCUUCGGGGACAUGGAUACAGGUGGUGCAUGGUUGUCGUCAGCUCGUGUCGUGAGAUGUUGGGUUAAGUCCCGCAACGAGCGCAACCCUUAUUAUCAGUUGCCAGCAUUCAGUUGGGCACUCUGGUGAGACUGCCGGUGAUAAACCGGAGGAAGGUGGGGACGACGUCAAAUCAUCAUGCCCCUUAUGACCUGGGCUACACACGUGCUACAAUGGUCGGUACAACGUGCUGCGAACUCGCGAGGGCAAGCAAAUCACUUAAAACCGAUCUCAGUUCGGAUUGUAGGCUGCAACUCGCCUACAUGAAGCUGGAAUCGCUAGUAAUCGCGGAUCAGCAUGCCGCGGUGAAUACGUUCCCGGGCCUUGUACACACCGCCCGUCACACCAUGAGAGUUUGUAACACCCAAAGUCGGUGGGGUAACCCUUCGGGGAACUAGCCGCCUAAGGUGGGACAAAUGAUUAGGGUGAAGUCGUAACAAGGUAGCCGUAGGAGAACCUGCGGCUGGAUCACCUCCUUUNUG